CUACGGUGAAUACGUUCCCGGACCUUGUACACACCGCCCGUCAAGCCAUGGAAGCUGGGUGUACCUAAAGUCGGUAACCGUAAGGAGCCGCCUAGGGUAAACUAGUAACUGGGGCU
This 116-nucleotide ribosomal RNA is filed under the name uncultured bacterium. RNAcentral's name for it is "partial 16S ribosomal RNA". It matches the Rfam family "Bacterial small subunit ribosomal RNA", at positions 1357 to 1482 of the family's 1533-position model. The record is from RNAcentral.